UUACCGGCUUGAAAGGACAGAGAUCUCCUCGGACCUAGGUGCUGCAUGGUUGUCGUCAGCUCGUGCCGUGAGGUGUCGGGUUAAGUCCCAUAACGAGCGCAACCCUAUCAUAGUUACCAGCGGUCGGGACUCUAUGAGACUGCCAGUGUAACUGGAGGAAGGUGGGGAUGACGUCAAAUCAGCACGGCCCUUACGCCGGGCCACACACGUGUUAAAUGGGGUACAAGGGGCAUAGCAAUAGAUGCAAUCUCAAAACCUUCUCAGUUCGGAUUGGAGGCUGAAGCUCGCCUCUAUGAAGUUGGAUUCGCUAGUAAUCGCAAUCAGCACGUGCGGUGAAUACGUUCCCGGGCCUUGUACACACCGCCCGUCAAGCCAUGGAAGUCGGGGGCCGAA
This 393-nucleotide ribosomal RNA is filed under the name uncultured bacterium. Its description in RNAcentral is "bacterial SSU rRNA". It matches the Rfam family "Bacterial small subunit ribosomal RNA", at positions 971 to 1425 of the family's 1533-position model. The record is from RNAcentral.